This 72-nucleotide transfer RNA is filed under the name Minisyncoccota bacterium. Its description in RNAcentral is "tRNA-Arg". It matches the Rfam family "tRNA". Rfam says of the family: Transfer RNA (tRNA) molecules are approximately 80 nucleotides in length. Their secondary structure includes four short double-helical elements and three loops (D, anti-codon, and T loops). Further hydrogen bonds mediate the characteristic L-shaped molecular structure. tRNAs have two regions of fundamental functional importance: the anti-codon, which is responsible for specific mRNA codon recognition, and the 3' end, to which the tRNAs corresponding amino acid is attached (by aminoacyl-tRNA synthetases). tRNAs cope with the degeneracy of the genetic code in two manners: having more than one tRNA (with a specific anti-codon) for a particular amino acid; and 'wobble' base-pairing, i.e. permitting non-standard base-pairing at the 3rd anti-codon position. Lineage: Bacteria; Bacillati; Minisyncoccota. The record is from RNAcentral.
GCCCUCAUAGUUAAAUGGAUAUAACUGCUCCGUCCUAAGGAGUAAUUGUGGGUUCGAUUCCUGCUGAGGGCA